Molecule: long non-coding RNA, 1106 nt
Filed under: Sus scrofa (pig)
Lineage: Eukaryota; Metazoa; Chordata; Mammalia; Artiodactyla; Suidae
Description: lncRNA (ENSSSCG00050076468.1)
Source: RNAcentral
GAGAACCCGCCCCCUUUGCCGGAACUAUCGCAUCUUCCAACGGAAAUCUAGUUGCCAAAAGAGGUGGAAAUGCGUCAUUGGCUAGAGAUCCCAUCAGAUCUGGAGCUGCUGGCCUACGCCACAGCCACAGCAACACCAGAUCCAAGCCGUGUCUGCGACCUACACCACAGCUCACAGCAACGCUGGAUCCUUAACCCACUGAGCGAGGCCAGGGACCGACCCCUCGUCCUCAGAGAAUGCUAGUCAGGUUCAUUACCGCUGAGCCAUGACGGGACCUCCUGCAUUUAGAUUUUUAGCGAACAUCUACUUUGCGCCUCACCACAAGUCGGUUGCUGGGGAGAAGCAGAAAGGAGGCGUGGGCUGGGCUAGUAUGCAGGUGGACUCAGCCCACCCCUAGUGAGGCUCCCUGCCUGGACUUCUGGGAGAGGCUUGAAUGAGCCUUGAAGGAGACACCUGACUAUCAAAGGAGGGGGCGAAACAGCAUCCCGAGCCAAGGAAAUGACAUAGUAAAAGCCUCCAAGGUGUUUGGGGUUCAUGACUCCUCGGCACAGUUAAAGCCUGGGGUCCACGGGACAGGACAGUCGGGGGAGAGAUGAAGUGAUGAGGCCAAAACCAGAGCAGCGGCUGACUGCACCUCAGGAGUCUGCGGGGGAAGGACUUUGUGGACGUGGCGAUUAUCUCAACUAUUUGUGGGGCAAUCACAGGAGCAUCUGGGGAGAAAACUGGCCCCAGAAGGAAAAGGGCUGCAGGCGGGAAGACCAGAAAGGAUGCUGUUCAGAUGGCCCAGGUGAAAGCCAGUGAGGGCCUAGACUGAGCAGACGUGGUGGGAUGGAGGGGCCCCAGGAGACAGCUCUGGAUUUGGCAGUUGCGGGGGAGGAGCUAGAACAUUGUGCUUUUACAAGAGUGGGUUAUUUAUCCAAAAACAAACAAAACAAAACAACAGCAACAACAGAGCAUUGCCGCAAGCUGUGGUGUAGGCUGCAGAUGUGGCUCGGAUCCAGCGUGGCUGUGGCUGUGCCGUAAGCCAGCAGCUGCAGCUCCGAUUCGAGCCCAGGAACUUCCAUAUGCCUCAGGUGGGGCCCUAGAAAAGGACAGAAAAAAAAAAA